Molecule: small nucleolar RNA, 77 nt
Organism: Anneissia japonica
Lineage: Eukaryota; Metazoa; Echinodermata; Crinoidea; Comatulida; Comatulidae
Source: RefSeq, a predicted model, not a curated record
UUGCAAUGAUGUUUGAAUUUCUUCACCUGAAUUAUACAUGUGGUUACAAACCAAUGAGCUUUUUAACCCUGAGCAAG